This 496-nucleotide ribosomal RNA is filed under the name uncultured bacterium. RNAcentral's name for it is "partial 16S ribosomal RNA". It matches the Rfam family "Bacterial small subunit ribosomal RNA", at positions 29 to 507 of the family's 1533-position model. The record is from RNAcentral.
AUGCACGCUGGCGGCGUGCCUAAUACAUGCCAGUCGCGCGAACAGAUAAGGAGCUUGCUCCUUUGACGUUAGCGGCGGACGGGUGAGUAACACGUGGGUAACCUACCUAUAAGACUGGAAUAACUCCGGGAAACCGGGGCUAAUGCCGGAUAACAUUUAGAACCGCAUGGUUCUAAAGUGAAAGAUGGUUUUGCUAUCACUUAUAGAUGGACCCGCGCCGUAUUAGCUAGUUGGUAAGGUAACGGCUUACCAAGGCAACGAUACGUAGCCGACCUGAGAGGGUGAUCGGCCACACUGGAACUGAGACACGGUCCAGACUCCUACGGGAGGCAGCAGUAGGGAAUCUUCCGCAAUGGGCGAAAGCCUGACGGAGCAACGCCGCGUGAGUGAUGAAGGUCUUCGGAUCGUAAAACUCUGUUAUUAGGGAAGAACAAAUGUGUAAGUAACUGUGCACGUCUUGACGGUACCUAAUCAGAAAGCCACGGCUAACUACGUG